UACAGAGGGGGCAAGCGUUAUUCGGAAUUAUUGGGCGUAAAGGGCGCGUAGGCGGCUUUUCAAGUGGCGGGUGAAAGCCCUCGGCUUAACCGAGGAACUGCCUGCCAGACUGAAUGGCUUGAGACCGGGAGAGGUGAGUGGAAUUCCCAGUGUAGCGGUGAAAUGCGUAGAUAUUGGGAGGAACACCAGUGGCGAAGGCGGCUCACUGGACCGGUACUGACGCUGAGGCGCGAAAGCGUGGGGAGCAAACAGG
RNAcentral lists this ribosomal RNA (253 nucleotides) under uncultured bacterium. Its description in RNAcentral is "partial 16S ribosomal RNA". It matches the Rfam family "Bacterial small subunit ribosomal RNA", at positions 524 to 776 of the family's 1533-position model. The record is from RNAcentral.